AUUGAACGCUGGCGGCAGGCUUAACACAUGCAAGUCGAGCGGGGUGAUGGUGCUUGCACUAUCACUUAGCGGCGGACGGGUGAGUAAUGCUUAGGAAUCUGCCUAUUAGUGGGGGACAACAUCUCGAAAGGGAUGCUAAUACCGCAUACGUCAUACGGGAGAAAGCAGGGGAUCAUUUGUGACCUUGCGCUAAUAGAUGAGCCUGAGUCGGAUUAGCUAGUUGGUGGGGUAAAGGCAUACCAAGGCGACGAUCUGUGGCGGGGCUGAGAGGAUGAUCCGCCACACUGGGACUGAGACACGGCCCAGACUCCUACGGGAGGCAGCAGUGGGGAAUAUUGGACAAUGGGGGGAACCCUGAUCCAGCCAUGCCGCGUGUGUGAAGAAGGCCUUAUGGUUGUAAAGCACUUUAAGCGAGGAGGAGGCUCUUUUGGUUAAUACCCAAGAUGAGUGGACGUUACUCGCAGAAUAAGCACCGGCUAACUCUGUGCCAGCCGCCGCCGUAA
RNAcentral lists this ribosomal RNA (503 nucleotides) under uncultured bacterium. RNAcentral's name for it is "partial 16S ribosomal RNA". It matches the Rfam family "Bacterial small subunit ribosomal RNA", at positions 30 to 523 of the family's 1533-position model. The record is from RNAcentral.